ACGGACUCGUGUGAAAAGAGUGUGUCGAUCAAUGCUUUGACACACUCUUUUCACACGUGUCAAUGA
This is a non-coding RNA of Paramuricea clavata, 66 nucleotides long. Lineage: Eukaryota; Metazoa; Cnidaria; Anthozoa; Malacalcyonacea; Plexauridae. The record is from the annotation of a GenBank genome assembly.